CAGUAUUUAGUUUAAGAUUAAAAUAUUUCAUUUGGGUUGAUGUGAUUGUUUGCUGAC
This 57-nucleotide transfer RNA is filed under the name Metastrongylus salmi. Its description in RNAcentral is "tRNA-Pro". The record is from RNAcentral. Lineage: Eukaryota; Metazoa; Nematoda; Chromadorea; Rhabditida; Metastrongylidae.